GCGGUGAUAGUUCAAGAGUAGAACCCGAGCACGCCACGCUCGAGAUCCGAGUGCGAUUCUCGGUCACCGCUCCA
RNAcentral lists this transfer RNA (74 nucleotides) under Labilithrix sp. RNAcentral describes it as "tRNA-Gly". It matches the Rfam family "tRNA". From Rfam's summary of the family: Transfer RNA (tRNA) molecules are approximately 80 nucleotides in length. Their secondary structure includes four short double-helical elements and three loops (D, anti-codon, and T loops). The record is from RNAcentral. Lineage: Bacteria; Pseudomonadati; Myxococcota; Polyangiales; Labilitrichaceae.